CCUGCAGUCUUCCCUGCUGUCAAUUGCUGUCCAUUUUCUGCAGGCUGGAGUAGAGCGUGGGCAUUGUGGAAGAAAAAGCCCAGCAAGGAAGACAGAGACCGAGAGAAAAGCUAAACUGGAGCUCUGAAGGCAAGAUUGGGACGCGACGUCACUAGUUUAUUGCUUCGAGCACACAGCCCCUCUGCCGUAGGAGGAAGUCAAAGAACCUGGAGAGACCUCACACAGCCUGGAACACACAAACUCCACACAGGAAGGCUCCAGCCAACCAGGAGGUUUGAUCUUGCUGUGAAGAAACAGUACUAACUGCUGCUCUACCAAUCUCCGAGGAGAUAUGCACAUAGUCAAACUG
This is a long non-coding RNA of Pelmatolapia mariae (spotted tilapia), 349 nucleotides long. RefSeq lists it as uncharacterized. The transcript has 3 exons. The record is from RefSeq and is a predicted model, not a curated record. Lineage: Eukaryota; Metazoa; Chordata; Actinopteri; Cichliformes; Cichlidae.